This 437-nucleotide ribosomal RNA is filed under the name uncultured Finegoldia sp. RNAcentral describes it as "bacterial SSU rRNA". It matches the Rfam family "Bacterial small subunit ribosomal RNA", at positions 65 to 503 of the family's 1533-position model. The record is from RNAcentral. Lineage: Bacteria; Bacillati; Bacillota; Tissierellia; Tissierellales; Peptoniphilaceae.
AACGGGAUUUAGUAAACAGAAGCCUCGGUGGAAGAUUACUAAUGAGAGUGGCGAACGGGUGAGUAACGCGUGAGCAACCUGCCUAUGACAGUGGGAUAGCCUCGGGAAACCGGGAUUAAUACCGCAUAAAAUCGUAGAAACACAUGUUUUAACGGUCAAAGAUUUAUCGGUCAUAGAUGGGCUCGCGUCUGAUUAGCUAGUUGGUGAGAUAACAGCCCACCAAGGCGACGAUCAGUAGCCGGUCUGAGAGGAUGAACGGCCACAUUGGAACUGAGACACGGUCCAAACUCCUACGGGAGGCAGCAGUGGGGAAUAUUGCACAAUGGGGGAAACCCUGAUGCAGCGACGCCGCGUGAACGAAGAAGGUAUUCGUAUCGUAAAGUUCUGUCCUAUGGGAAGAUAAUGACAGUACCAUAGAAGAAAGCUCCGGCUAAAAC